This 560-nucleotide small RNA is filed under the name Pan troglodytes (chimpanzee). RNAcentral's name for it is "processed transcript". The record is from RNAcentral. Lineage: Eukaryota; Metazoa; Chordata; Mammalia; Primates; Hominidae.
GAAGUUUUUCUCUCUCAUCAACCUCUCUCUAUCCUUCCUCCAACCCACCCAUACCCUUCUUAUUUAAACAUCAUUUUAAAAAACAUGAACAGGGAGAUCAAAAUUAAUAUGCAGGGCAGCCAUGAAUGGGAAAGAAUCUCAUAGCCUGCAAUGGGAAGGAAGCAAAAUGGGAAGCUCCACACCUGAGAGUUGGGGGAGAGCAGGAGCAGGGAGGCUCCCAGCUGACAGAUUGUGUGUGCACACAGUGGCAUGCCCUCUCCCGUGAAGAGCAGGCUAAAUAUUAUGAAUUAGCACGGAAAGAAAGACAGCUACAUAUGCAGCUUUAUCCAGGCUGGUCUGCAAGAGACAAUUAUGGUAAGAAAAAGAAGAGGAAGAGAGAGAAACUACAGGAAUCUACAUCAGGUACAGGUCCAAGAAUGACAGCUGCCUACAUCUGAAACAUGGUGGAAAACGAAGCUCAUUCCCAACAUGCAAAGCCAAGGCAGCGACCCCAGGACCUCUUCUGGAGAUGGAAGCUUGUUGAAAACCCAGACUGUCUCCACGGCCUGCCCAGUCGACCC